This 451-nucleotide ribosomal RNA is filed under the name uncultured Pelotomaculum sp. RNAcentral describes it as "bacterial SSU rRNA". It matches the Rfam family "Bacterial small subunit ribosomal RNA", at positions 936 to 1382 of the family's 1533-position model. Lineage: Bacteria; Bacillati; Bacillota; Clostridia; Eubacteriales; Desulfotomaculaceae. The record is from RNAcentral.
AGCUAUGUGGUUUAAUUCGACGCAACGCGAAGAACCUUACCAGGGCUUGACAUCCCCUGACCGCGUAUGAAAGUACGUUUUCACCCUCGGGUGACAGGGAGACAGGUGGUGCAUGGUUGUCGUCAGCUCGUGUCGUGAGAUGUUGGGUUAAGUCCCGCAACGAGCGCAACCCCUACGUUUAGUUGCUAACGCGUGAAGGCGAGCACUCUAGACGAACUGCCGUUGACAAAACGGAGGAAGGUGGGGAUGACGUCAAAUCAUCAUGCCCCUUAUGUUCUGGGCUACACACGUGCUACAAUGGCCGGUACAGACGGACGCAAAGCCGCGAGGUGGAGCAAAUCCUAAAAAGCCGGUCUCAGUUCGGAUUGCAGGCUGCAAUUCGCCUGCAUGAAGUCGGAAUCGCUAGUAAUCGCAGGUCAGCAUACUGCGGUCGAAUACGUUCCCGGGCCUU